Molecule: long non-coding RNA, 1117 nt
Organism: Sorghum bicolor (sorghum)
Lineage: Eukaryota; Viridiplantae; Streptophyta; Magnoliopsida; Poales; Poaceae
Exons: 2
Source: RefSeq, a predicted model, not a curated record
GCUAUAAGAACACACCGGACCGGCCCCGGCGGCCCGGGGCUCUCAACUCCAAUCUCCAACUCCAUAGGCUGACCGAUCGAGAGCGAGCGUCAUGGACCAGCGUCUGUUCUUCCUCAUGCUCCUCGCGGGCGCGUCGUGCGUCAACGUCGUCGGCGUGGCCGGAGAAGAAGCGCUGUGGCUCGUCGCCGCCGUCGCGCUGGGUGCGGGAGUGCUCCACCCGCGCCGCGGCCCCGACCCCGAGUGAUUCGCAACACCAACGGCGUCUUCUCCGGCGCCCCCGUACGUCUGCACGUCACCGUCACCGUCAACGCCGCCACCGCCAGUUGGCUAAUUAUGAAGGCAGCCGUCGACGCCGCCGCCAUGAACGUCAAAUCCAUCGAGGAUUCGGGACGGGCGGACCCUGCCGUACCUCAGCGUGGAACGAUACGCUGCAUCGAUCGAUCGAUUUCCAAUCCUAGCUCCCUUUGAUUUGGAUUUGGAUGGAAUACUCACUCGAUCUACCCGCAGUAGCUUUGUUUCUUUAUGAUUAGGAGUGUAUUACAUUAGUUACAUGUUUGUCUAGUCAUUUCUGUUGUUCCGUUUUGCAGGAAAUUAAAGCAUGCCGGAGGAGACUGUGCUGCUCCACCGCCUCCCUCCCUUCCUCCGUGAUUAUAUAUUCCAACCACUCUCCGUACUCUCGUCAUGAUUCAUGCAUGUUGGUUACCAACACCAACUCCAAACAUUUCCUCCUCUUCACUUUGACUGCCAAUGCAACUAAUUGUAUAUCCACUCCUUAACCUUGGCUGCCCAAUCCCUAUCUGCGUGAGUGAUAGUCAUCCGGUCCAAAAGUUCUUCCAACAAAACGACAGGUCAAGCAGUUCGCCGGUGCUCGCCCUAACCGAACGGUGACAACUAGCAGAGAACUAGUCAUGGCCUCCCUCCACUGUCCAUCUACUCUACUUGCAUUUGUAUUUUUUGAAUUCAAUGCCUAUUCCAAAUCUAAAGCUACUAUUGGUAUUUUUUUAAAAAAAAAUAUAGACUGCUUAUUAAUUGUAUUGGUGUUUGCUCGGCAACAGAGCUUGUAUAUAUUGUUUUAUAUAUGUGGAACAAUAAAUUCAUCACUGUUGGCCAUCGCUUU